RNAcentral lists this ribosomal RNA (1420 nucleotides) under Lactiplantibacillus plantarum. RNAcentral describes it as "bacterial SSU rRNA". It matches the Rfam family "Bacterial small subunit ribosomal RNA". Lineage: Bacteria; Bacillati; Bacillota; Bacilli; Lactobacillales; Lactobacillaceae. The record is from RNAcentral.
UGCAUCAUGAUUUACAUUUGAGUGAGUGGCGAACUGGUGAGUAACACGUGGGAAACCUGCCCAGAAGCGGGGGAUAACACCUGGAAACAGAUGCUAAUACCGCAUAACAACUUGGACCGCAUGGUCCGAGCUUGAAAGAUGGCUUCGGCUAUCACUUUUGGAUGGUCCCGCGGCGUAUUAGCUAGAUGGUGGGGUAACGGCUCACCAUGGCAAUGAUACGUAGCCGACCUGAGAGGGUAAUCGGCCACAUUGGGACUGAGACACGGCCCAAACUCCUACGGGAGGCAGCAGUAGGGAAUCUUCCACAAUGGACGAAAGUCUGAUGGAGCAACGCCGCGUGAGUGAAGAAGGGUUUCGGCUCGUAAAACUCUGUUGUUAAAGAAGAACAUAUCUGAGAGUAACUGUUCAGGUAUUGACGGUAUUUAACCAGAAAGCCACGGCUAACUACGUGCCAGCAGCCGCGGUAAUACGUAGGUGGCAAGCGUUGUCCGGAUUUAUUGGGCGUAAAGCGAGCGCAGGCGGUUUUUUAAGUCUGAUGUGAAAGCCUUCGGCUCAACCGAAGAAGUGCAUCGGAAACUGGGAAACUUGAGUGCAGAAGAGGACAGUGGAACUCCAUGUGUAGCGGUGAAAUGCGUAGAUAUAUGGAAGAACACCAGUGGCGAAGGCGGCUGUCUGGUCUGUAACUGACGCUGAGGCUCGAAAGUAUGGGUAGCAAACAGGAUUAGAUACCCUGGUAGUCCAUACCGUAAACGAUGAAUGCUAAGUGUUGGAGGGUUUCCGCCCUUCAGUGCUGCAGCUAACGCAUUAAGCAUUCCGCCUGGGGAGUACGGCCGCAAGGCUGAAACUCAAAGGAAUUGACGGGGGCCCGCACAAGCGGUGGAGCAUGUGGUUUAAUUCGAAGCUACGCGAAGAACCUUACCAGGUCUUGACAUACUAUGCAAAUCUAAGAGAUUAGACGUUCCCUUCGGGGACAUGGAUACAGGUGGUGCAUGGUUGUCGUCAGCUCGUGUCGUGAGAUGUUGGGUUAAGUCCCGCAACGAGCGCAACCCUUAUUAUCAGUUGCCAGCAUUAAGUUGGGCACUCUGGUGAGACUGCCGGUGACAAACCGGAGGAAGGUGGGGAUGACGUCAAAUCAUCAUGCCCCUUAUGACCUGGGCUACACACGUGCUACAAUGGAUGGUACAACGAGUUGCGAACUCGCGAGAGUAAGCUAAUCUCUUAAAGCCAUUCUCAGUUCGGAUUGUAGGCUGCAACUCGCCUACAUGAAGUCGGAAUCGCUAGUAAUCGCGGAUCAGCAUGCCGCGGUGAAUACGUUCCCGGGCCUUGUACACACCGCCCGUCACACCAUGAGAGUUUGUAACACCCAAAGUCGGUGGGGUAACCUUUUAGGAACCAGCCGCCUAAGGUGGGACAGAUGAUU